UACGAAGGGGGCUAGCGUUGCUCGGAAUCACUGGGCGUAAAGGGCGCGUAGGCGGCGUUUUAAGUCGGGGGUGAAAGCCUGUGGCUCAACCACAGAAUGGCCUUCGAUACUGGGACGCUUGAGUAUGGUAGAGGUUGGUGGAACUGCGAGUGUAGAGGUGAAAUUCGUAGAUAUUCGCAAGAACACCUGUGGCGAAAGCGGCUCACUGGACCACAACUGACGCUGAUGCGCGAAAGCGUGGGGAGCAAACAGG
Molecule: ribosomal RNA, 253 nt
Filed under: uncultured bacterium
Lineage: Bacteria
Description: partial 16S ribosomal RNA
Rfam family: Bacterial small subunit ribosomal RNA
Source: RNAcentral